Long non-coding RNA from Oncorhynchus keta (chum salmon), 911 nucleotides. RefSeq lists it as uncharacterized. The record is from RefSeq and is a predicted model, not a curated record. The transcript has 5 exons. NCBI's taxonomy places the organism in Eukaryota, Metazoa, Chordata, Actinopteri, Salmoniformes, Salmonidae.
UUCUGCAGCAUUGAAGGUCCCCAAGAACACAGUGGCCUCCAUCAUUCUGCAGCAUUGAAGGUCCCCAAGAACACAGUGGCCUCCAUCAUUCUGCAGCAUUGAAGGUCCCCAAGAACACAGUGGUCUCCAUCAUUCUGCAGCAUUGAAGGUCCCCAAGAACACAGUGGCCUCCAUCAUUCUGCAGCAUUGAAGGUCCCCAAGAACACAGUGGCCUCCAUCAUUCUGCAGCAUUGAAGGUCCCCAAGAACACAGUGGUCUCCAUCAUUCUGCAGCAUUGAAGGUCCCCAAGAACACAGUGGUCUCCAUCAUUCUGCAGCAUUGAAGGUCCCCAAGAACACAGUGGCCUCCAUCAUUCUGCAGCAUUGAAGGUCCCCAAGAACACAGUGGCCUCCAUCAUUCUGCAGCAUUGAAGGUCCCCAAGAACACAGUGGUCUCCAUCAUUCUGCAGCAUUGAAGGUCCCCAAGAACACAGUGGCCUCCAUCAUUCUGCAGCAUUGAAGGUCCCCAAGAACACAGUGGCCUCCAUCAUUCUGCAGCAUUGAAGGUCCCCAAGAACACAGUGGCCUCCAUCAUUCUGCAGCAUUGAAGGUCCCCAAGAACACAGUGGUCUCCAUCAUUCUGCAGCAUUGAAGGUCCCCAAGAACACAGUGGUCUCCAUCAUUCUGCAGCAUUGAAGGUCCCCAAGAACACAGUGGUCUCCAUCAUUCUGCAGCAUUGAAGGUCCCCAAGAACACAGUGGUCUCCAUCAUUCUGCAGCAUUGAAGGUCCCCAAGAACACAGUGGCCUCCAUCAUUCUGCAGCAUUGAAGGUCCCCAAGAACACAGUGGCCUCCAUCAUUCUGCAGCAUUGAAGGUCCCCAAGAACACAGUGGUCUCCAUCAUUCUGCAGCAUUGAAGGUCCCCAAGAACACA